This 506-nucleotide ribosomal RNA is filed under the name uncultured bacterium. RNAcentral's name for it is "partial 16S ribosomal RNA". It matches the Rfam family "Bacterial small subunit ribosomal RNA", at positions 29 to 523 of the family's 1533-position model. The record is from RNAcentral.
AGUGAACGCUGGCGGUAGGCCUAACACAUGCAAGUCGAACGGCAGCACAGGAGAGCUUGCUCUCUGGGUGGCGAGUGGCGGACGGGUGAGGAAUACAUCGGAAUCUACUCUGUCGUGGGGGAUAACGUAGGGAAACUUACGCUAAUACCGCAUACGACCUACGGGUGAAAGCAGGGGAUCUUCGGACCUUGCGCGAUUGAAUGAGCCGAUGUCGGAUUAGCUAGUUGGCGGGGUAAAGGCCCACCAAGGCGACGAUCCGUAGCUGGUCUGGGAGGAUGAUCGGACACACGGGAACUGAGACACGGUCCAGACUCCUACGGGAGGCAGCAGUGGGGAAUAUUGAACAAUGGGCGCAAGCCUGAUCCAGCCAUACCGCGUGGGUGAAGAAGGCCUUCGGGUUGUAAAGCCCUUUUGUUGGGAAAGAAAUCCAGCUGGCUAACACCCGGUUGGGACGACGGUACCCAAAGAAUAAGCACCGGCUAACUUCGUGCCAGCAGCCGCCGUAA